Myotis daubentonii (Daubenton's bat) is the source of this 7258-nucleotide long non-coding RNA. RefSeq lists it as uncharacterized. The transcript is spliced from 4 exons. Lineage: Eukaryota; Metazoa; Chordata; Mammalia; Chiroptera; Vespertilionidae. The record is from RefSeq and is a predicted model, not a curated record.
UCGCCGCGCCGGCUCCGCUGCGCCCGGGGCCUGCCGGCCUCCGCGGGGUCUUCGCGGCCGCUCGGGCCUCCCGCCCUUGCCUCCGCGGUGGGAGUGGGUGCCGUUUCCUGGGCGGACGGCGGUGGGCAGGUCCCCCCACCUCCCCCCUGAACACACACCUCACCCCUCCUCCGCCCCGGCUGCACCGUCCCCGGCGGGGGCCGCAGGUGCCCGGGCCCCGCGCUCCGCCGGCCGCGGUCGAGGGGCCGGGGGUCGCUCUCGGGGGAGAAGAGUCAGGCAAAGAGGCGGUGGGGCGGGGGUCUGUUCAUCAUCUCUCGCGGCCGCCCCUCGGAACCUGUCAUGUCCAGCCUGGAGGAGCAACUUCAGGUUUUGGAUUCCUUUGAGAUUCUGGCAUACACACUGGACAUCUGUUUAGACAACAUAGUUAAACAAAAUUUUGUGUAUAAUUUUGUUGUCAACCUCCCCAACCUAGUCAAGUUCAUCCCAUGGACUACUACAGUAAGAAAGUUUUAAGGAAGAGCAGACGGAUCUGUGAAAUGCUGAAUGAACAUGUCUUUCUUAAAGUUUUGUAUAUUUUUAAUAAAUACUUCUUCAUGGUUACUGUUUAUAUUUGGGGUGUAUAUGCAGUAGUGAAAAACCAGAAAUCUUCCCCUGCCUUCUUGGAUUAUACUUGUGCUAAAGUAAAAAUGGAAAAGAACUGUGUACAGUUAAUAGAGUAUCAUGGGAGACUGGGGGGAUCUACUUAGGUGUAAGGGAAGGCCUCACUGAAGAGACACAGACAUAAAGUAAAGGAGAGAGAAUGAGAUGUUUCACAUAGAGGGAACAGCAUGCAAAGGGCCUGAUGCUGUGAAGGGCUUAAUGUGUUUGAGAAAAUGAAAAGUUGGAGUAAUAUGAACAAGAGCGGAGAAUGGCUACAGGUCUUGUACACAGUGAUAAGGAGUUUGGAUUACAAAAUACUAAAGGAGCCAAUAUCCCUGAUGAACAUAGAUGCUAAAAUCCUUAACAAAAUAUUAGCAAAUUGAAUCCAGCAAUAUAUUAAAAAGAUCAUACACCAUGACCAAUUGGGAUUUAUUCCAGGGAUGCAAGGCUGGUACAGUAUUCAUAAAUCAAUAAAUGUGAUAUGUCACAAACAAAUUGAAAGACAGAAAUCACAUGAUAUAUCAAUAGAUGCAGGAAAAGCAUUUGACAAAACCUAACACCCAUUUUUGAUAAAAACUCAGCGAAGUGGGAAUAGAGGGAGCACACCUCGACAUAAUAAAGGCCAUAUAUGACAAAGCUAUAGCCAACAUCAUACUCAAUGGGCAAAAACUAAAAUCAUUUUCCCUAAGAACAGGAACAAGACAGGGAUGUCCACUUUCACCACUGUUAUUCAACAUAGUACUAGAAUUCCUAGCCACAGUGAUCAGACAAGAAGAAAACAUAAAAGCAUCCAAAUUGGAAAGGAGGAUGUAAAACUCUCAUUAUUCGCAGAUGAUGGGAUAUUGUACAUAGAAAAUCCUAAAGGCGCCACCAAAAAACUACUAUAUUUAAUAAAUGAAUUCAGCAAUGUAGCAGGACACAAAAUUAACACCCAGAAGUCGAUAGCAUUUUUGUACACAAGAAUGAAUUCUUAGAAAGUGAAACUAAACAAACAAUCCCAUUUAUCACUGCAACAAAAAAAUUAAGAUACUUAGGAAUAAACUUAACCAAGGAGGUAAAAGACUUGUACUCUGCCGGGAGCCGGACAUUGAAAAAAGAGCUAGAGGAAGAUAUAAACAAGUGGAAGAAUAUACCAUGUGUAUGGAUUGGUAGAAUUAACAUCAUUAAAAUGUCCAUACUACCCAAAGCAAUCUACAGAUUCAAUGCAAUCCCUAUUAAAAUACCAAUGGCAUAUUUCACAGAUCUAGAACAAAUACUCCAAACAUUUAUAUGGAAACAAAGACCCUGAAUAGCCUCAGCAAUAUUGAGAAAGAAGAACAAAGUUGGAGGAAUCACAAUACCAGACGUCAAGUUUUACUACAAAGUCACUGUAAUCAAAACUGCCUGGUACUUGCAUAAGAACAGACAUAUAGACCAAUGGAACAAAACAGAGAACCCAGAAAUUGACCCAAGCCAUUAUGUUCAAUUAAUAUUUGACAAAGGAGGCAAGAACACACAAUGGAGUCCAAAAGUCUCUUCAAUAAAUGGUGUUGGGAAAAUUGGACAGAUACAUGCAAAAAAAUUAAACUAGACCACGAACUUAUACCAUACACAAGAAUAAACUCAAAAUGGAUAAAAGACUUAAAUGCAAGACGGGAAACCAUAAAAAUCCUAGAAGAAACCAUAGGCAGCAAAAUCUCAGACAUCUUGGGGGGGGGGGGGCGGUGGUCAGUCGGGGAAAAAGGAGACAUAUGUAAUACUUUAAACAAUAAAAUAAAAAAGAAAGAAAAACAAAGUCUCAGACGUCUCUCGUAGCAAUAUGUUUACGAUACAUCUCCUAGGGCAAAGAAAACAGGAGAAAGUAAACAAAUGGGACUACAUCAAAAUAAAAAGCUGCACAACAAAAGAAACCAUCAACAAAACAAAAAGGGAGCCCACUGUAUGGGAGAACAUGUUUGGCAAUGAUACAUCUGAUAAAGGGUUAAUGUGCAAAAUAUAUAAGGAACUCAUACAACUUAACAAAAGGAAGACAAACAGUCCAAUUAAAAAAUGGGCAAAGGACCUAAAUAAACACUUCUCCAAAGUGGACAUACAGACGGCCAAGAGACAUAUGAAAAAAUGCUCAAAGUCACUGAUCAUCAGAGAGAUGCAAAUUAAAACGACAAGGAGGUAUUACACCUGAUAGAAUGGCCACCAUCUACAAAUGACACAAGUGCUGGUGAGAAUGUGGAGAAAAGGGAACCCUAGUACACUGCUGGUAGGAAUGCAGACUGAUGCAGCCAUUAUGGAAAACAGUAUGAAGUUUCCUCAAAAAAUUAGAUAUGAAACUGCCAUUUGACCUAGUAUUCCAUUUAUACCACGGAAUACUAUGCAACAGUAAAAAGGCUUUCUUACCUUUUGAGACAGCAUGGAAGGACCUAGAGAGUAUUAUGCUAAGCAAACAAAGCCAGCCAGAGAAAGACAAGUAUAACAUGAUCUCACUCAUAUGUGGAAUCUAAUGAACAAAAUAAAUCCAAAGACAUAGAAGCAUGGAACAGACUGUUGAAUCUCAGAGGGAAGGUGGUGGGGGGAGUGUGGGUGGAAGGGUGGUUGGGAAGAGAUAAAGGAACUUGUAUGCAUAUAUGCAUAACCCAUGGACACAGACAAUAGGGUGGUGAAGGCCUGGGAUGGGGGAUAGGGAUGGGCUAGAAAAGAGUCAAGAGGAGAAAAAGGGAACAUAUGUAAUACUUUGAACAAUAAAGAUUUUUAAAAAAUAUUAAAAGAUUUUCAGCAGGUAGCAUCAUAUGAAUUACAUUUUUAAAAAAUUACCCUCCUGUAUAGAGAAGAAAAUACUGGGACAAGCAGAAAUAGAUUGACUAGUGGAUAUGCAGUAAUUUAGGUAGGGGACAAUGACUUACAUUAGUGGAAUGGAGAGGAGUGGACAUAUUUGAGAUAUUUUUAGGUGGUAGAAAUAGGAGGUCAUGAUAAUGGAUUGGAUGUGAAACUUAAGGAAGAGGGAAGAACUCAGGGGUAUUGCUGGAUGUUGUCAUUAUUGGAUUGCUGGGGAAAGAAUUUUUUUUGUUGUUUUAGUUUUUUGCUUGUUUUAUUUUGGAGGAGGGAUAAUGUGAAUUUAGGAGUUUCCUUUAGUCAGUCUUGAGUUCUCAGAAGCCUCUGAGAUUGUCAAGUAGGCCUCUAUCAGAGAGAACCAGUUAUCUUAAGGAACUCAGAUAUUUGGCUUGGAGAUAUCAAUUUGAAGAUUAUCAGUGUAUUAGUGAUAUUUAAAGCCAUGAGAAUAGGUGAAAUCUCUGAGGAAGAGACUGUGGGAGUAUAGGUUUGGCUAGAAAUAGAAUGCUGAGGAUCUCUGUACAUUUUAAGGUUGUGUAAACUGGAAGGUCACUAGGAAGGAGGCGUAAGAAGGACAGCCAGAGUGAUUGUAGGGAAAUUGGAAUGUAUAUUGGAUCAUGUCAUGGAUGCCAAGUAAUGCAAGUUUUCAAGGAAAGGAUAGUUAACUGUAUUGAGUUUGACUUGGAGGUUGAGAAGAUGUGGGCCAUUGGCUUUGACAACCUAGAGGUCAUCAGUAACUGAGAUGAGCCAGUUUCAUGGCUUUGUAGAGAUGGAAGCCAGAUUUAAGUGACUUGAGGGGUUACAUGAUACCUCAGGCCUAGAAAUUUGGUGUAUAGAUAGCUUUAUAAAGAAGUUUGCCUAUGAAAGGAAACAGAUACGGGGUAGAAGAUAGAGGUGUAUGAGGAUAUAAGGGAAGUCUUUGUUGAGUGUAAGAAAUACUGCAGCAUGAUUUUAGUUGUUAGGAUUAAUAAAAGAAGGAAGGAAGAUGAGAGAAGUCCUUGAGAAAACAAAGUUCAGGAUCCUGACUGCAUAGAGCAGUGGUUUUCAACCUUCCUAAUGCUGCGACACUUUAAUACAGUUCCUCAUGUUGUGGUGACCCCCAACCAUAAAAUUAUUUUCGUUGCUACUUCAUAACUGUAAUUUUGCUACUAUAAACAAUAUGUAAUUAUAUAUCUGUUUUCCGAUGGUCUUAGGCGACCCCUGUGAAAGGGUCUUUCAACCCACAAAGGGGUCACGACCCACAGGUUGAGAACUGCUGGCAUAGAGGGUCAGUUCUUUGAUAGGAAAUGGAUCAUCCUCAAUUUUAAAAGGAAAGAAGUAAAAACAUAAAUACAGAGAGAAGUAGGUAUAUAGAUUUAAUGGAGGGAAAUUAGAAUAUUCUAGCCUAAUGGCUUUUACUUUUUCUACAAACUGAGGUGAGUUUAACAAUUCUGUAGUGAGAAAUUAUCUGAAUAUGAAAGUAAGAAAACUAUUCACCGUGUCAUCAAAAUAAAUAAAAUAUUUAGGAAGAAAUUUAACAAAAGCACCAAGAUGUUUUUACUACAGAGACAUUGCUGAAAGGAAUUAAAGAAGAUUUAAAUAAAUGGAGAGACAGUCUGUGUUCAUAGUUUGGAAGAUUGAAUGUUGUUAAAGUGAUGGUUCUCCCCAAAUUGAUCUACAGAGUCAGCAAAAUUCUUAUCAAAAUCCCAGAAGACUUUUGAAGAAAUUGUCAAGCUGAUUCUAAAAUUUAUAAGGAGAUGCAAAGGACCUAGAAUAUCCAAAACAGUUUUGAAAACGAACAAAAUAAGAGACUUACCCUAGCUAAUUUUAAAAUUUAACUAAUCUCAAUAAUCAAGAAUGUGUGAUUGGCAAAAGGAUGAGCAUGUAGAUUAGUGGAACAGGAUUGAGAAUCCGGAAAUAAUUCUUACAUUUAUGAUCAUUUGGUUUUUGAAAAAAGUGCCAGGACAGUUCAUUUGGGAAAGAAUAGUCUUUAAACAAAUGGUGCUGGGAGAAUUGGAUAUCUGUAUGUUUAAAAAAUGGCGUUAGGCAUAUUUUUGUGCUAUAUACUUAAGACAGCACACAAAAAUUAUCUCAAAAUAUAUCACAUACUUAAUUGUAAAACCUAAAACUAUAAAAAUUCUAGAUAACAUAGAAGAAAAUCUUUGUAACCUGUGUUAGGCAGAAUUCUUAGAUGUGACACCAAAAGCAUGAAUCAUAAAAGAAAAACUGGUAAGUUGGACUUCGUUAGCAUUUUUUAAACUUUUACAGUUUAAAGGAUACUUAAUAUAAAAAGUUAAGCCACAGAAUAGCAGAAAAUAUUAGCAUGUUAAAAACAUGAUAAAGUUCUUUAAUCUCGAAUACAUAAAGAAAUCUUGCAACUCAAUUAUAAAGAAAAAUUGUAUUAAAAAUGGGGAAAAGACUUUAAUAGAUAUUUCACCAAAGAAGAUAAUAUGAAUGGCCAAACCACAUAUGAAAAGAUACUCAGUAUUCAUCAUUAGGGAAAUGCAAAUUAAACUACAGUGAUAUGCUCUUACACACUCGAGUAGCUAUAAUUAAAAAGAAUAACAUGACAUAGUAUUGGUAUUGUGGAGGAACUGGAAUCUUUAUACACUGCUCUUGGAAAAUGAUUUGGCUGUUUUUUAAAAAGUUAAACAUAUUAUAUGAACCAGCAAUUCCAUUCUUAGGAAUCUACCCAAGAGAAAUGAAAACGUGCACACAAAAAAAGUGUAAAUGUCUGUUUAACAGCAUUAUUCACAAUAGUCAGAAAUUGAAAAGCAAUAAAAAUGUCCAUCAUAUGAUGAAUGGAUAAACAAUAUGAUAUAUCCAUGCAAUGAAAUUCUGUUCUGUAGUAAAAAGGAACAAAUCACUGAUAAAUGCUACAACAAAGGUAAAUGCAAACACGUAAGUGGCAAAAGCUAGACACAAAGGAGUACAUAUUGUGUUUGCUCUCAUGAUGAGUUUCUUUUCUAUAUUGAGAUAUUUGCAAUCUAUUUUUUAUAGUGUUUUUUUUUGUCUUCAUAAUUUUUAUCCCAGGUAUAAUAUUUAUCUAAUCUAAGUCAUCAAGAAACAUCUUUAUAAGCUUAUAUUAUCUGCCCUGGCCCAUGCGGCUUAGUUCAGCGGUUGCCAACCUGUGGUCCACGGACCACUGGUGGUCCGUGACAUUUGAAAGGUUGAUGACCGCUGGUUUAGUUGGUUGAGCAUUGUCCCAUGGACCAAGAGGUCCCAGGUUCCAGUCCAGGUCAGGGCACACACCAGGGUUAUGGGCUUGAUCCCCAGUAGGGAGCGUGCAGGAGGCAGCUGAUCUAUGUUUCUCUUCCUCUCCUUUCUCUCACUAAAAUUAAUAAAAAUAUUUUUAAAAAAGAUUGUGUUGUCUUUUAUGGAAUUAGAAAGGUACUUGAAAUAAUAAUUUAAAAACUAUAAAAUACCAUUCAUGUUUUGUUUUGUUUUCAUUUGAUAUCCUAUUUAUUUGAACUUUUCCCUGAUCUUCUCAAUCAGAUAACCCUCCUGUAACCUUCCCACAUUGUUCUAUAUGUUUUCACUUAUAUACAUCUUAUACUUUUAGCCUCCUGUUCAGGUGUCUAUGUUUUUCUUAAAAUGUGGCAAGCAACUUGAAGUGUUAGUUUAUCCUUGUUUGUUUCGCUCAUAUCAUUCUGUUCAUGAUAGGCACCCAAAACACAUUGGACUGGUUAAUUUAGCACUUCAGGGCUUCAUUUCUCAUCAGUACAUUGGUGAGUGCUAGCCUCACCUCUCACUUUGUCAUAAUACUUUAAAAAUUCCAAACACCAAUUAUGAACCUUUUUAAACAAUAUGGAACCUCUGAGACCAGAUUGUAUAGAUC